Cebus imitator (Panamanian white-faced capuchin) is the source of this 121-nucleotide long non-coding RNA. RefSeq lists it as uncharacterized. The record is from RefSeq and is a predicted model, not a curated record. Lineage: Eukaryota; Metazoa; Chordata; Mammalia; Primates; Cebidae. The transcript has 3 exons.
CUCCUGAGAGGACAAGAGAGAGACAGAUUCAGGGAUUCCCCAUGGAGACUCAUUGCCAUUUGAAGGGAAGCCCAUGGGAAAAGGGCAGGAAUCCCAGCUUGUGUGCAGGAGGGGUGGUGAG